Molecule: ribosomal RNA, 253 nt
Filed under: uncultured bacterium
Lineage: Bacteria
Description: partial 16S ribosomal RNA
Rfam family: Bacterial small subunit ribosomal RNA
Source: RNAcentral
UACGUAGGGUGCAAGCGUUAAUCGGAAUUACUGGGCGUAAAGCGUGCGCAGGCGGUCCGCUAAGACAGAUGUGAAAUCCCCGGGCUUAACCUGGGAACUGCAUUUGUGACUGGCGGGCUAGAGUAUGGCAGAGGGGGGUAGAAUUCCACGUGUAGCAGUGAAAUGCGUAGAGAUGAGGAGGAAUACCGAUGGCGAAGGCAGCCCCCUGGGCCAAUACUGACGCUCAUGCACGAAAGCGUGGGGAGCAAACAGG